RNAcentral lists this ribosomal RNA (253 nucleotides) under uncultured bacterium. RNAcentral's name for it is "partial 16S ribosomal RNA". It matches the Rfam family "Bacterial small subunit ribosomal RNA", at positions 524 to 776 of the family's 1533-position model. The record is from RNAcentral.
UACAGAGGUCUCAAGCGUUGUCCGGAAUUAUUGGGCGUAAAGCGCGCGCAGGCGGUCCUUUAAGUCUGAUGUGAAAGCCCACGGCUCAACCGUGGAGGGUCAUUGGAAACUGGGGGACUUGAGUACAGAAGAGAAGAGUGGAAUUCCACGUGUAGCGGUGAAAUGCGUAGAGAUGUGGAGGAACACCAGUGGCGAAGGCGACUCUUUGGUCUGUAACUGACGCUGAGGCGCGAAAGCGUGGGGAGCAAACAGG